GCGCUGGUGGUUCAGUGGUAGAAUUCUCGCCUGUCACGCGGGAGCCCGGGUUCGAUUUCCCGCUAGCGCA
RNAcentral lists this transfer RNA (70 nucleotides) under Dendronephthya gigantea. RNAcentral describes it as "tRNA-Asp". It matches the Rfam family "tRNA". Rfam says of the family: Transfer RNA (tRNA) molecules are approximately 80 nucleotides in length. Their secondary structure includes four short double-helical elements and three loops (D, anti-codon, and T loops). Lineage: Eukaryota; Metazoa; Cnidaria; Anthozoa; Malacalcyonacea; Nephtheidae. The record is from RNAcentral.